RNAcentral lists this ribosomal RNA (429 nucleotides) under Acidobacteriota bacterium. RNAcentral describes it as "Acidobacteria bacterium partial 16S ribosomal RNA". It matches the Rfam family "Bacterial small subunit ribosomal RNA", at positions 355 to 776 of the family's 1533-position model. Lineage: Bacteria; Pseudomonadati; Acidobacteriota. The record is from RNAcentral.
UGGGGAAUUUUGGACAAUGGGGGAAACCCUGAUCCAGCCAUCCCGCGUGCGCGAUGAAGGCCUUCGGGUUGUAAAGCACUUUUGGCAGGAAAGAAACGUCAUGGGUUAAUACCCCGUGAAACUGACGGUACCUGCAGAAUAAGCACCGGCUAACUACGUGCCAGCAGCCGCGGUAAUACGUAGGGUGCAAGCGUUAAUCGGAAUUACUGGGCGUAAAGCGUGCGCAGGCGGUUCGGAAAGAAAGACGUGAAAUCCCAGAGCUCAACUUUGGAACUGCAUUUUUAACUACCGGGCUAGAGUGUGUCAGAGGGAGGUGGAAUUCCGCGUGUAGCAGUGAAAUGCGUAGAUAUGCGGAGGAACACCGAUGGCGAAGGCAGCCUCCUGGGAUAACACUGACGCUCAUGCACGAAAGCGUGGGGAGCAAACAGG